ACCUGCAGGGUUGGAACUGUCUUAAGAGUACCGAACCCGAAAGAGCCAACCAAGAGAUGUAAAAAUCAGGAUAACCACCAGGUAUUACUCGGUCUUCAUGAGCCAACCAAGGGAUGUAAAACGCAGCAUAACCACCAGAAAUAUCUAACUACCAAGUCCAGAAGAGCUGAGCAAGGGAUUUGAAACUCAGGAUAACCACCAGAAACAUCAAGCUAAUCCAGCCAACGGGAAUGGAAACAUUGCUUCCACCGCUUUGUCCUCCAAGCCACACUUCUGGGUGCAACUAAUAUGUACAUCAGAAUGCA
This 305-nucleotide long non-coding RNA is filed under the name Setaria viridis. Its description in RNAcentral is "long non-coding RNA (SVIR_LNC005071)". Lineage: Eukaryota; Viridiplantae; Streptophyta; Magnoliopsida; Poales; Poaceae. The record is from RNAcentral.